GGAGACGUAUCGAAGAGGCCAUAACGAGACUGACUCGAAAUCAGUUUGCCGGGCAACUGGCACGAGGGUUCGAAUCCCUCCGUCUCCG
This 88-nucleotide transfer RNA is filed under the name Candidatus Enterocloster excrementipullorum. RNAcentral's name for it is "tRNA-Ser". It matches the Rfam family "tRNA". From Rfam's summary of the family: Transfer RNA (tRNA) molecules are approximately 80 nucleotides in length. Their secondary structure includes four short double-helical elements and three loops (D, anti-codon, and T loops). RNAcentral also lists the same sequence under 1 other name. The record is from RNAcentral. Lineage: Bacteria; Bacillati; Bacillota; Clostridia; Lachnospirales; Lachnospiraceae.